This is a small RNA of Streptococcus gordonii str. Challis substr. CH1, 66 nucleotides long. It matches the Rfam family "Streptococcus sRNA Spd-sr37". The record is from Rfam. NCBI's taxonomy places the organism in Bacteria, Bacillati, Bacillota, Bacilli, Lactobacillales, Streptococcaceae.
CAAUAGUCAUGAUGGUCAAAGCUCAUGGAUGUUGCAGGCUUUUUUGUCCUGCACUUCUGGAGACUU